RNAcentral lists this ribosomal RNA (496 nucleotides) under uncultured Streptococcus sp. Its description in RNAcentral is "bacterial SSU rRNA". It matches the Rfam family "Bacterial small subunit ribosomal RNA", at positions 28 to 508 of the family's 1533-position model. Lineage: Bacteria; Bacillati; Bacillota; Bacilli; Lactobacillales; Streptococcaceae. The record is from RNAcentral.
GACGAACGCUGGCGGCGUGCCUAAUACAUGCAAGUAGAACGCUGAAGGAGGAGCUUGCUUCUCUGGAUGAGUUGCGAACGGGUGAGUAACGCGUAGGUAACCUGCCUGGUAGCGGGGGAUAACUAUUGGAAACGAUAGCUAAUACCGCAUAACAGUAGAUGUUGCAUGACAUUUGCUUAAAAGGUGCAAUUGCAUCACUACCAGAUGGACCUGCGUUGUAUUAGCUAGUUGGUGGGGUAACGGCUCACCAAGGCGACGAUACAUAGCCGACCUGAGAGGGUGAUCGGCCACACUGGGACUGAGACACGGCCCAGACUCCUACGGGAGGCAGCAGUAGGGAAUCUUCGGCAAUGGACGGAAGUCUGACCGAGCAACGCCGCGUGAGUGAAGAAGGUUUUCGGAUCGUAAAGCUCUGUUGAAAGAGAAGAACGAGUGUGAGAGUGGAAAGUUCACACUGUGACGGUAUCUUACCAGGAAGGGACGGCUAACUACGUGC